AGCAAACUAGCGGCGAACGGUCGCGUAACACGUAGGCAACCUGCCUCAAAGUCCGGGACAACAUUCCGAAAGGGGUGCUAAUACCGGUUGUGGCCUGCGGGGGGCAUCCUCUGCAGAUUAAACCGAGCAAUCGGCUUUGGGAGGGGCUUGCGGCCUAUCAGCUAGUUGGYGGGGUAACGGCCUACCAGGGCGACGACGGGUAGCUGGUCUGAGAGGACGAUCAGCCGGACUGGGACUGAGAUACGGCCCAGACUCCUACGGGGGGCAGCAAUUAGGAAUCUUGCACAAUGGGGGCAACCCUGAUGCAGCGACGCCGCGUGGAGGAGGAAGUCCUUCGGGAUGUAAACCCCUUUUACCAGGGAAGAAACAAAUGACGGUACCUGGUGAAUAAGCCCCGGCUAACUACGUGCCAGCAGCCCGCGGUAAUACGUAAGGGGGCGAGCGUUGUCCGAAGUUACUGGGCCGUANAGCGCGCCGUAGGCGGGCUAUUAAGUGAGAAGUGAAAGGCUGGGGCUCAACCCCAUGCAGUGCUUUUUCAUACUGUUAGUCUU
Molecule: ribosomal RNA, 551 nt
Filed under: uncultured Armatimonadota bacterium
Lineage: Bacteria; Bacillati; Armatimonadota
Description: bacterial SSU rRNA
Rfam family: Bacterial small subunit ribosomal RNA
Source: RNAcentral